CAGUCGCCGCGGUAAUACAGAGGGUGCGAGCGUUAAUCGGAUUUACUGGGCGUAAAGCGUGCGUAGGCGGCUUUUUAAGUCGGAUGUGAAAUCCCCGAGCUUAACUUGGGAAUUGCAUUCGAUACUGGUUAGCUAGAGUGUGGGAGAGGAUGGUAGAAUUCCAGGUGUAGCGGUGAAAUGCGUAGAGAUCUGGAGGAAUACCGAUGGCGAAGGCAGCCAUCUGGCCUAACACUGACGCUGAGGUACGAAAGCAUGGGGAGCAAACAGGAUUAGAGACCCGCGUAGUCCCUGUCUCUUAUAC
Molecule: ribosomal RNA, 301 nt
Filed under: uncultured bacterium
Lineage: Bacteria
Description: partial 16S ribosomal RNA
Rfam family: Bacterial small subunit ribosomal RNA
Source: RNAcentral